Molecule: long non-coding RNA, 375 nt
Filed under: Drosophila guanche
Lineage: Eukaryota; Metazoa; Arthropoda; Insecta; Diptera; Drosophilidae
Source: RNAcentral
AAUUGAAUUCUCUGCUAUCUGAUCUCUGAAUUCUGUGCGAAAGCUGUGGUCGAAAACUGAUCCCCAAGCCCAGUGACACAAUUGGCUUUACGCGGCACGUGCCGGCCGUGAAUCCGCAAAAUGGCAUUGGAAAAUUGGCAAUUUGAGAACCAUAACCAGCUUAAUCACACAUUUUUAUGGGCCAUCAUACUAUGUACAAUAGAUAAUAAAAAUGUGCGAAUGUUAUAUGAUUAUCCAUGCAUAUGACAGAUGUCGACUGCAUUGACACACCGAAGAAGGAGAUGCCCUUACAAGAGCUUAGAUGAUCAAAUUCUUAGGAUAUUUUGUACUUAAAGGUAAGAUAUUUUAGUACCUUACGAAUGGGAUGCAUAAAUU